Molecule: ribosomal RNA, 497 nt
Filed under: uncultured bacterium
Lineage: Bacteria
Description: partial 16S ribosomal RNA
Rfam family: Bacterial small subunit ribosomal RNA
Source: RNAcentral
GAUGAACGCUGGCGGCGUGCCUAAUACAUGCAAGUCGAGCGAACGGACGAGAAGCUUGCUUCUCUGAUGUUAGCGGCGGACGGGUGAGUAACACGUGGAUAACCUACCUAUAAGACUGGGAUAACUUCGGGAAACCGGAGCUAAUACCGGAUAAUAUUUUGAACCGCAUGGUUCAAAAGUGAAAGACGGUCUUGCUGUCACUUAUAGAUGGAUCCGCGCUGCAUUAGCUAGUUGGUAAGGUAACGGCUUACCAAGGCAACGAUGCAUAGCCGACCUGAGAGGGAGAACCGCCACACUGGAACUGAGACACGGUCCAGACUCCUACGGGAGGCAGCAGUAGGGAAUCUUCCGCAAUGGGCGAAAGCCUGACGGAGCAACGCCGCGUGAGUUAUGAAGGUCUUCGGAUCGUAAAACUCUGUUAUUAGGGAAGAACAUAUGUGUAAGUAACUGUGCACAUCUUGACGGUACCUAAUCAGAAAGCCACGGCUAACUACGUG